Molecule: long non-coding RNA, 474 nt
Organism: Hippopotamus amphibius kiboko
Lineage: Eukaryota; Metazoa; Chordata; Mammalia; Artiodactyla; Hippopotamidae
Exons: 3
Source: RefSeq, a predicted model, not a curated record
CAAUGUGGUGAGCAGGGCAGGGGGCGUGGCUGUAUAAUAACCACAAAGAAGAUGAGGCUGUGUUUCAGAAUGCCUGGGAAAAGAUAGAAUACCAAAUCUCGAAUGGGAAAAGGCUAAAUAUGUACCAGACACUGAGACUGUGCUUCUUCCUUUGGACAAGACAAAGUUUAGAUGGGACUGAAAACAAAGCCACAAGAGAAAAUGCUGUAGAUACCACAAGGAAGAAAAUGAAAAGAAAAAGGAAAAGAAAAAGAAAGAAGACCUUACUCCUCUGAGGCUAACACUCCCCCCCACCCCAGCCACAACUGGGGGUACAAAGACAAUAGGAGGGAUAAUAAGUACAGGAAGAAUAUUUUUACCAGUGCACAAAAGAAAAUGUGAAGAAAACCCUUCCCAAAAUAGAGCCCCAAACUCAAAGUUAAUAGGACAGUAUAUUUUCCCCUAGAGAUUGAAAAAUUAAAUUUAAUAGAAACA